AAGGGCUUAGCUUAAUUAAAGUAAUUGAUUUGCAUUCAGUUGAUGUAAGAUAGAGUCUUGCAGUCCUUA
Molecule: transfer RNA, 69 nt
Filed under: Rhinolophus luctus (Woolly horseshoe bat)
Lineage: Eukaryota; Metazoa; Chordata; Mammalia; Chiroptera; Rhinolophidae
Also listed under: 1 other name
Description: tRNA-Ala
Rfam family: tRNA
About the family: Transfer RNA (tRNA) molecules are approximately 80 nucleotides in length. Their secondary structure includes four short double-helical elements and three loops (D, anti-codon, and T loops). Further hydrogen bonds mediate the characteristic L-shaped molecular structure. tRNAs have two regions of fundamental functional importance: the anti-codon, which is responsible for specific mRNA codon recognition, and the 3' end, to which the tRNAs corresponding amino acid is attached (by aminoacyl-tRNA synthetases). tRNAs cope with the degeneracy of the genetic code in two manners: having more than one tRNA (with a specific anti-codon) for a particular amino acid; and 'wobble' base-pairing, i.e. permitting non-standard base-pairing at the 3rd anti-codon position.
Source: RNAcentral